Molecule: ribosomal RNA, 467 nt
Filed under: uncultured bacterium
Lineage: Bacteria
Description: partial 16S ribosomal RNA
Rfam family: Bacterial small subunit ribosomal RNA
Source: RNAcentral
GACGAACGCUGGCGGCGUGCUUAAUACAUGCAAGUCGAACGGAAAGGCCUCUUUCGGGGGGUACUCGAGUGGCGAACGGGUGAGUAACACGUGAGUAACCUGCCCUUGACCUUGGGAUAACUUCAGGAAACUGGGGCUAAUAUCGGAUAGGCGCUCCUGCUGCAUGGUGGGGGUUGGUAAGUUUGGGCGGUUGGGGAUGGACUCGCGGCCUAUCAGCUUGUUGGUGGGGUAGUGGCUUACCAAGGCCUUGACGGGUAGCCGGCCUGAGAGGGUGACCGGGCACAGUGGGACUGGGAUACGGCCCCGACUCCUACGGGAGGCAGCAGUAGGGAAUACUGCACAAUGGGUGGAAGCCUGAGGCAGCAACGCCAUCGGCGGGAGGACGGCCUUCGGGUUGGAAACCGCAUUCGCUCAUGACGAAGCUUUGUGUGACGGUAGUGGGUAAAGAAGCACCGGCUAACUACGUG